UACGAAGGGGGCUAGCGUUGCUCGGAAUUACUGGGCGUAAAGCGCACGUAGGCGGCUUUCUAAGUCGGGGGGGAAAUCCUGGAGCUCAACUCCAGAACUGCCUUCGAUACUGGAGAGCUUGAGUCCGGGAGAGGUGAGUGGAACUGCGAGUGUAGAGGUGAAAUUCGUAGAUAUUCGCAAGAACACCAGUGGCGAAGGCGGCUCACUGGCCCGGUACUGACGCUGAGGUGCGAAAGCGUGGGGAGCAAACAGG
This 253-nucleotide ribosomal RNA is filed under the name uncultured bacterium. RNAcentral's name for it is "partial 16S ribosomal RNA". It matches the Rfam family "Bacterial small subunit ribosomal RNA", at positions 524 to 776 of the family's 1533-position model. The record is from RNAcentral.